UUGCUCUUCAACGAGGAAUUCCUAGUAAGCGUGAGUCAUCAGCUCGCGUUGAUUACGUCCCUGCCCUUUGUACACACCGCCCGUCGCUACUACCGAUUGAAUGGCUUAGUGAGGUUUCCGGAUUGGCUUUGAGGACCCGGCAACGGGAUCUUAUUGCUGAGAAGCUACCCAAACUUGGUCAUUUAGAGGAAGUAAAAGUCGUAACAAGGUUUCCGUAGGUGAACCUGCGGAAGGAUCACUAGUGAUUAAAUCGAGCGUGUCUUCAUUGACCGCUCACCCUUCUCACCAUCCACAUACACCUGUGCACUGUUUAGCCUGAGCCGUUUCGGUUCAGGUUAUCAUUUCAUACAAACUCUAGUCUUAUGAAUGUAAACGUUUUAAUAACAUAAUAAAACUUUCAACAACGGAUCUCUUGGUUCUCGCAUCGAUGAAGAACGCAGCGAAAUGCGAUAAGUAAUGUGAAUUGCAGAAUUCAGUGAAUCAUCGAAUCUUUGAACGCACCUUGCGCUCCUUGGUAUUCCGAGGAGCAUGCCUGUUUGAGUGUCAUGAAACUCUCACCCUCUAGCUUUCUUAAUCGUGGCUAGCGGCGUGGACGUGAGCGCUGCUGCUUUGUUGCGGCUCGCUCGAAAUGUAUUAGCAGACCCUUUUCGUAAUCGGUUCCACUCAACGUGAUAAGUAUUUCGUUGAGGACAGUUGCAGCAAUGCGGCUGGCCGGGAUAAGAAAGGCAUAGUUGUCAGCUUCUAAUCGCCCUCGGGCAAUUUUUUAUGAUCUGGCCUCAAAUCAGGUAGGACUACCCGCUGAACUUAAGCAUAUCAAUAAGCGGAGGA
Molecule: ribosomal RNA, 828 nt
Filed under: uncultured fungus
Lineage: Eukaryota; Fungi
Description: eukaryotic LSU rRNA
Rfam family: Eukaryotic small subunit ribosomal RNA (bases 1-241)
Source: RNAcentral